GUGGNNNAAUUCCUGGAGUAGCGGUAAAAUGCGCAGAUAUCAGGAGGAACACCAGUGGCGAAGGCGGCUCCCUGGGCCGAGACUGACGCUCAGAGGCGAAAGCUAGGGGAGCGAACAGGAUUAGAGACCCUGGUAGUCCUAGCCCUAAACGAUGGAUGCUAGGUGUGGGGGCGAUGAGUUUCCGUGCCGGAGCAAACGCGAUAAGCAUCCCGCCUGGGGACUACGGCCGCAAGGUUAAAACUCAAACGAAUUGACGGGGGCCCGCACAAGCAGCGGAGCGUGUGGUUUAAUUCGAUGCUACACGAAGAACCUUACCUGGGUUUGACAUGUAGGUGGUAGCGAGGCGAAAGCUGAGCGACCCUUCGGGGAGCCUACACAGGUGCUGCAUGGCUGUCGUCAGCUCGUGCCGUGAGGUGUCGGGUUAAGUCCCGUAACGAGCGCAACCCUUGCUCCUAGUUAUACGUGUCUAGGGGGACUGCCGGCGGGAAGCCGGAGGAAGGUGGGGAUGACGUCAAGUCAGCAUGGCCCUUAUGUCCAGGGCUACACACACGCUACAACGGCCAGUACAAAGGGUAGCGAAGCCGCGAGGUGGAGCGAAUCUCAGCAAAGCUGGUCGUAGUUCGGAUUGCAGGCUGCAACCCGCCUGCAUGAAGCUGGAGUUGCUAGUAACCGCGCGUCAGCUAUAGUGCGGUGAAUACGUUCCCGGGCCUUGUACACACCGCCCGUCACGUCAUGGGAGUCGGUAACGCCUGAAGGCGGUAGCUUGACC
This 769-nucleotide ribosomal RNA is filed under the name uncultured organism. RNAcentral's name for it is "bacterial SSU rRNA". It matches the Rfam family "Bacterial small subunit ribosomal RNA", at positions 658 to 1440 of the family's 1533-position model. The record is from RNAcentral.